This 1346-nucleotide ribosomal RNA is filed under the name uncultured bacterium. RNAcentral's name for it is "bacterial SSU rRNA". It matches the Rfam family "Bacterial small subunit ribosomal RNA", at positions 28 to 1381 of the family's 1533-position model. The record is from RNAcentral.
GACGAACGCUGGCGGCGUGCUUAACACAUGCAAGUCGAACGGAAAGGCCCUGCUUUUGUGGGGUGCUCGAGUGGCGAACGGGUGAGUAACACGUGAGUAACCUGCCCUUGACUUUGGGAUAACUUCAGGAAACUGGGGCUAAUACCGGAUAGGAGCUCCUGCUGCAUGGUGGGGGUUGGAAAGUUUCGGCGGUUGGGGAUGGACUCGCGGCUUAUCAGCUUGUUGGUGGGGUAGUGGCUUACCAAGGCUUUGACGGGUAGCCGGCCUGAGAGGGUGACCGGCCACAUUGGGACUGAGAUACGGCCCAGACUCCUACGGGAGGCAGCAGUGGGGAAUAUUGCACAAUGGGCGGAAGCCUGAUGCAGCAACGCCGCGUGCGGGAUGACGGCCUUCGGGUUGUAAACCGCUUUCGCCUGUGACGAAGCGUGAGUGACGGUAAUGGGUAAAGAAGCACCGGCUAACUACGUGCCAGCAGCCGCGGUGAUACGUAGGGUGCGAGCGUUGUCCGGAUUUAUUGGGCGUAAAGGGCUCGUAGGUGGUUGAUCGCGUCGGAAGUGUAAUCUUGGGACUUAACCCUGAGCGUGCUUUCGAUACGGGUUGACUUGAGGAAGGUAGGGGAGAAUGGAAUUCCUGGUGGAGCGGUGGAAUGCGCAGAUAUCAGGAGGAACACCAGUGGCGAAGGCGGUUCUCUGGGCCUUUCCUGACGCUGAGGAGCGAAAGCGUGGGGAGCGAACAGGCUUAGAUACCCUGGUAGUCCACGCUGUAAACGGUGGGUACUAGGUGUGGGGUCCAUUCCACGGGUUCCGUGCCGUAGCUAACGCUUUAAGUACCCCGCCUGGGGAGUACGGCUGCAAGGCUAAAACUCAAAGGAAUUGACGGGGCCCCGCACAAGCGGCGGAGCAUGCGGAUUAAUUCGAUGCAACGCGUAGAACCUUACCUGGGUUUGACAUGGAUCGGGAGCGCUCAGAGAUGGGUGUGCCUCUUUUGGGGUCGGUUCACAGGUGGUGCAUGGCUGUCGUCAGCUCGUGCCGUGAGAUGUUGGGUUAAGUCCCGCAACGAGCGCAACCCUUGUUCACUGUUGCCAGCACGUUAUGGUGGGGACUCAGUGGAGACCGCCGGGGUCAACUCGGAGGAAGGUGGGGAUGACGUCAAGUCAUCAUGCCCCUUAUGUCCAGGGCUUCACGCAUGCUACAAUGGCUGGUACAGAGAGUGGCGAGCCUGUGAGGGUGAGCGAAUCUCGGAAAGCCGGUCUCAGUUCGGAUUGGGGUCUGCAACUCGACCUCAUGAAGUCGGAGUCGCUAGUAAUCGCAGAUCAGCAACGCUGCGGUGAAUACGUUCCCGGGGCU